Pogona vitticeps (central bearded dragon) is the source of this 659-nucleotide long non-coding RNA. RefSeq lists it as uncharacterized. The record is from RefSeq and is a predicted model, not a curated record. NCBI's taxonomy places the organism in Eukaryota, Metazoa, Chordata, Lepidosauria, Squamata, Agamidae.
AAACCCCGGAGGCGGCGCCUUGUUCUUUCUUUUACGGCCAUGCUGUCUGUGCGGGUGGUUGUUUGGGCGAGCUACGGCUCAAAGGUCAAGGCAUCCUCUGUCUUCAAAGGGCAUCAUGAACGGAUCACUGACUGGAAGGAAAAUAUAUUGUGUUAGGUAAAUAUUGGAACAUGGAUUUUAAAAAUCUUAAGGCUUCCCCCUAGCAGGCCUUCAUGACUGCUAACUUGGUAAUAAGAAUUUGGAUUCCUGUGUUGUGAAGCAGAAAAGGGACUUAGGAGGAUGUAGAACAACUGUUCAGGAAUUGUAAUGCCAGUAUUGGUUUUGGCAGUGCAGCUACCAAAUCAUGGGGAUGAUUCUCCUGUAACACUUCCUGUUGUUUGUGAGAGAGGAAGGAGCCCGCUAGCAGUGUAGGUUAUCCUCUACAACUGCACAGAGUUUGUAUGCACAGCCAGGACACCUCCAACUUAUGGUGACCCUGGCAGGAUUUUUGAGAUUCAGUUAGGAAAUCAUAUUGAACAAGGAUUUUGCGGGUUCUCUAAAGUAAUGCCUGAUUUCAUAAGGCAAAGAUACAGUCCUACAUGGCAGAUUAUUGGAAGAUAAACCGGAGCUUAAGUUUUACUAUCUGUGAAUAAUAAAAUAAAAUGAUUCUAUAAUCUUUG